AUUGAACGCUGGCGGCAGGCCUAACACAUGCAAGUCGAGCGAGCGGCGGACGGGUGAGUAAUGUCUGGGAAACUGCCUGAUGGAGGGGGAUAACUACUGGAAACGGUAGCUAAUACCGCAUACCCUCACAUGGUCCACGAUGGGUUCAGCUAGUAGUUGGGGUAACGGCUCACCUAGGUGACGAACCCUAGCUGGUCUGAGAGGAUGACCAGACACACUGGAACUGAGACACGGUCCAGACUCCUACGGGAGGAAGCAGUGGGGAAUAUUGGACAAGGGGCGCACGCCGGAUACAGCCAUGCCGCGUGUGUGAGGAAGGCCUUCGGGUUGUAAAGCACUUUCAGCGGGGAGGCGUUACCAACAGAAUAAGCACCGGCUAACUUCGUGCCAGCAGCCGCGGUAAUAC
RNAcentral lists this ribosomal RNA (406 nucleotides) under uncultured bacterium. Its description in RNAcentral is "partial 16S ribosomal RNA". It matches the Rfam family "Bacterial small subunit ribosomal RNA", at positions 30 to 526 of the family's 1533-position model. The record is from RNAcentral.